AGUUGAAUGGACAUAUCCCGGCACACACGCCCAGCGGCUCCCUAAUACUAUAAGUAUCAAUUCCAUGCGCAACAUUGGAAACAUAUUCACCCAUCUGCAGCGUCCCCAUCCCACAAGCAUGCUCCACCACCUCUAGCCCGCGAAACACAUCCCCUUGAGCAUCCUUAAGCGUCUUCCCUUGCUCCGUAGUGAUGUUCAACGCCAGCUUGUCCAUGUCCCUCCGGAUGAGCUCCUGGAGCUUGAGCAUGACGCGCUGGCGGGUGGUGACGGGGGUGUUGCGCCACUUAGGGAAGGCGGACUUGGCGGCGGCGACGGCGGAUUUAAACUCGUCGGCGGUGGUUAGGGGGACGCGAGAGACGAUCUCCUGAGUGGCGGGGUUGAGGACAUCGAUCGUGGAUCCGGAUCGGGAUUCGACGAAUUGGCCGCCGAUGAGGUUGCGGAUCACCGUCGGUGGAGUUUUGGGGAUCGGCGAAACUUCGGCGGCGGUGGAGAGGCGGGAUAUGGCGAGCGGGGCCCAUGGGCGGAGGGCGGUGGCUCGCCGGAGCGAUGAGCGGAGCAUCGUCGAAGACGGAGGUUGGGUGGGGUUGUAGAGUCG
This 595-nucleotide unclassified non-coding RNA is filed under the name Hevea brasiliensis (rubber tree). The record is from RNAcentral. Lineage: Eukaryota; Viridiplantae; Streptophyta; Magnoliopsida; Malpighiales; Euphorbiaceae.